CUACGGGUUGCUGCAGUGGGGAAUAUUGCACAAUGGAGGAAACUCUGAUGCAGCAACGCCGCGUGGAGGAUGACGCUUUUCGGAGCGUAAACUCCUUUUAUAUAGGAAGAAGAUGACGGUACUUUAUGAAUAAGCGCCGGCUAACUCCGUGCCAGCAGCCGCGGUAAUACGGAGGGCGCAAGCGUUACUCGGAAUCACUGGGCGUAAAGAGCGUGUAGGCGGAUUAAAAAGUCAGAAGUGAAAUCCUAUAGCUUAACUAUAGAACUGCUUCUGAAACUCUUAAUCUAGAAUAUGGGAGAGGUAGAUGGAAUUUCUGGUGUAGGGGUAAAAUCCGUAGAGAUCAGAAGGAAUACCGAUUGCGAAGGCGAUCUACUAGAACAUUAUUGACGCUGAGACGCGAAAGCGUGGGGAGCAAACAGGAUUAGAUACCCCCGUAGUC
Molecule: ribosomal RNA, 439 nt
Filed under: uncultured bacterium
Lineage: Bacteria
Description: partial 16S ribosomal RNA
Rfam family: Bacterial small subunit ribosomal RNA
Source: RNAcentral